Long non-coding RNA from Sander lucioperca (pikeperch), 151 nucleotides. RefSeq lists it as uncharacterized. NCBI's taxonomy places the organism in Eukaryota, Metazoa, Chordata, Actinopteri, Perciformes, Percidae. The record is from RefSeq and is a predicted model, not a curated record. The transcript has 3 exons.
UUAGGUGCUCCUCAUGUCUCUUAAAUUGCCUCCUCGAGUCCUCCACUUGUCUCCCUUCCUUGUGUCUUAGUCCCUCCCACUGAGGAGGCACGGGAGAGACGCGAGGAAAUCAUGGGAGGAGAGAGGCAACGAGGAAAUGUGUUUUAGAGGG